Molecule: ribosomal RNA, 332 nt
Filed under: uncultured bacterium
Lineage: Bacteria
Description: bacterial SSU rRNA
Rfam family: Bacterial small subunit ribosomal RNA
Source: RNAcentral
UGCGCAGGCGGCCGUGUGUGUGAGGCGUGAAAGCCCGGAGCUCAACUCCGGAAUUGCACCUCAAACUACACGGCUAGAGCAUUGCAGAGGAGACUGGAAUUCCCGGUGUAGCGGUGAAAUGUGUAGAGAUCGGGAGGAACACCGGUGGCGAAGGCGGGUCUCUGGGCAAUUCCUGACGCUGAGGCGCGAAAGCGUGGGGAGCAAACGGGAUUAGAUACCCCGGUAGUCCACGCUGUAAACGAUGACGACUAGGUGUGGGGGGGUUCAGUCCCUUCCGUGCCGCAGCUAACGCAUUAAGUCGUCCGCCUGGGGAGUACGGCCGCAAGGUUGAA